GUAGGUGGCAAGCGUUGUCCGGAAUUAUUGGGCGUAAAGCGCGCGCAGGCGGUUCUUUAAGUCUGAUGUGAAAGCCCACGGCUCAACCGUGGAGGGUCAUUGGAAACUGGAGAACUUGAGUACAGAAGAGGAAAGCGGAAUCCCACGUGUAGCGGUGAAAUGCGUAGAGAUGUGGAGGAACACCAGUGGCGAAGGCGGCUUUCUGGUCUGUAACUGACGCUGAGGCGCGAAAGCGUGGGGAGCAAACAGGGAUUAGAUACCCUGGUAGUCCACGCCGUAAACGAUGAGUGCUAAGUGUUAGGGGGUUUCCGCCCCCUUAGUGCUGCAGCUAACGCAUUAAGCACUCCGCCUGGGGAGUACGGCCGCAAGGCUG
Molecule: ribosomal RNA, 373 nt
Filed under: uncultured organism
Description: partial 16S ribosomal RNA
Rfam family: Bacterial small subunit ribosomal RNA
Source: RNAcentral